This 475-nucleotide ribosomal RNA is filed under the name uncultured bacterium. Its description in RNAcentral is "bacterial SSU rRNA". It matches the Rfam family "Bacterial small subunit ribosomal RNA", at positions 335 to 801 of the family's 1533-position model. The record is from RNAcentral.
ACUCCUACGGGAGGCAGCAGUAGGAAGGUCUUCCGACAAUGGGCGCAAGCCUGAUGGAGCAACACCGCGUGAGUGAAGAAGGGUUUCGGCUCGUAAAGCUCUGUUGUUAAAGAAGAACACGUAUGAGAGUAACUGUUCAUACGUUGACGGUAUUUAACCAGAAAGUCACGGCUAACUACGUGCCAGCAGCCGCGGUAAUACGUAGGUGGCAAGCGUUAUCCGGAUUUAUUGGGCGUAAAGAGAGUGCAGGCGGUUUUCUAAGUCUGAUGUGAAAGCCUUCGGCUUAACCGGAGAAGUGCAUCGGAAACUGGAUAACUUGAGUGCAGAAGAGGGUAGUGGAACUCCAUGUGUAGCGGUGGAAUGCGUAGAUAUAUGGAAGAACACCAGUGGCGAAGGCGGCUACCUGGUCUGCAACUGACGCUGAGACUCGAAAGCAUGGGUAGCGAACAGGAUUAGAUACCCUGGUAGGAUAGCG